This 465-nucleotide ribosomal RNA is filed under the name uncultured bacterium. RNAcentral describes it as "partial 16S ribosomal RNA". It matches the Rfam family "Bacterial small subunit ribosomal RNA", at positions 28 to 507 of the family's 1533-position model. The record is from RNAcentral.
GACGAACGCUGGCGGCGUGCUUAACACAUGCAAGUCGAACGGAAAGGCCCCUUUGGGGGUACUCGAGUGGCGAACGGGUGAGUAACACGUGAGUAACCUGCCCUUGACUUCGGGAUAACUUCAGGAAACUGGGGCUAAUACCGGAUAGGAAUCCUUGCUGCAUGGUGGGGGUUGGAAAGCUUCGGCGGUUUUGGAUGGACUCGCGGCUUAUCAGCUUGUUGGUGGGGUAGUGGCUUACCAAGGCUUUGACGGGUAGCCGGCCUGAGAGGGCGACCGGCCACAUUGGGACUGAGAUACGGCCCAGACUCCUACGGGAGGCAGAGGUGGGGAAUAUUGCACAAUGGGCGGAAGCCUGAUGCAGCAACGCCGCGUGCGGGAUGACGGCCUUCGGGUUGUAAACCGCUUUCAGCAGGGGCGAAGCUUGUGGUGACGGUACCUGCAGAAGAAGCACCGGCUAACUACGUG